This 40756-nucleotide long non-coding RNA is filed under the name Sorghum bicolor (sorghum). RNAcentral's name for it is "long non-coding RNA (SBIC_LNC000405)". Lineage: Eukaryota; Viridiplantae; Streptophyta; Magnoliopsida; Poales; Poaceae. The record is from RNAcentral.
UGCAUCAGAAGGAUCACGAGGUGCACUUUCGUUUGGUCUUGGUCGUCCAUAUGGUGGAUUGUUGGUAGGCCUUCCAUAUGGAUCAUUAGCAGGUCUUCCAUAUGGUGGAUCGUUGGCAGGCCUUCCAUAUGGUGGAUCGUUGGCAGGUCUUCCAUAUGGUGGAUCAUUGGUAGGUCUUCCAAAUGGUGGAACAACGGCAGGCCUUCCAUAUGGUCGAUCGUUGGUAUGACUUCCAAAUGGUGGAUCAAUGGCAGGCCUUCCAUACAGUGGAUCAAUGGCAGGCCUUCCAUACAGUGGAUCAAUGGCAGGCCUUCCAUACGGUGGAUCAUUGGCAGGCCCUCCAUAUAGUGUCGAUUUUCUGCUAGGCAUAUCAACAGGAGGAUCAUCGAAAGGGGCAAAAGGUGGAGGAUUAUUGGCAGUACUUGUAACUCCCAAAGUCCUAUUUCUAAGCCUCGAAGCAAUCUCUGUGAGGGCUCCUCUUGCAAUAGCUGGAGGCCCAGCAACCUGAAAGCUUGGAACAAAUGUACAGGUACAACGGACGUUAACAAAUUAAAGGUCCAGAUAAUAAAAACAUACAGAAAUAUGUUAAUGUAGCAGUUAUCAAAUAUUAAGUCACCUGCACAAGUUCAUCAUCAAAAGACAAGUAUUUUGGUUUAUCUGCCUUCGAGUAAACUCGAAUUUCAGCCCCAGUUCGUCUUCUCAUUUCAGUAAUCACCUUCCCACCUUCCCCAAGAAUACAGCCAACUUUGCUUGAUGGUACAACAAGCCUAGUACUUGAAUGGCGUUUCUCAGAGGGUGCACUUACUUUAUCAUGGAGCAAAAUGAGUGCCUCAAUUGCUGGGGAUAUUGGUUCAGAUGGUACCUGGAUGAAUAAAAAAGGAGAUAAAAUUGUGAGUAUUGGUACUAGAAAGUGAUUGGCAACUCAAAACCAGCUGCACUGUUACCUCCUUAGAUGAAACAAUGAUCAGACUUUCUCCAGAAGCAUCUUUGUCAAUCUCUUGAACUUUGAUGCGAGCACCAGUCUGCUGCUCUACUCGCUUAACAUUAGCCCCACUUUUCCCAAUAACUGAACCAAUGAGCUCAGAAGCACAUAGAAUUCUGAUAGAAAACUCUUCAGUUUCAGUAACAUGAUAUUGCAGUCCACUUCUAUAGGGAUCGAGCAGGGGUAUUGGAGGUGGAUGAUCACUAUGCAGGUGCGGCAACAUUGGAUUUUCAUGUUGUAGUAGUAUUGGGGACUCGCGUUUCCUUUGUGUGCUUGCAUUUAUUAUUUCUUCAAGAGGUCUAUUUUCCUUACGAGGAUGCUGAUGGAGACGAGUAGAUAUUUCAUAUAGAGCUUUUCUUACAAGAGAAGGUGCUCCAGAUAUCUGAAAUAUCAUAACAACAAUAUGAUAUAUGAUACCUAUGUACUGAUGUCCAAAAGUGAAACUAAGCAUGACAAAGACGCAAAUUUCAAGAUAUGAGAACAGCAUGACACAAAGUUCCAUCGUUUUGUUAAUUUAAUUAAUUGAUAGGGAAAAUCAAGUUAUCAAAACCAUGAGAAACUAGACAGGCAGAAGUAGAAUAACAAUUGAUAUGUCCACAGCGAAUUGUUUAUUUCGAGAAAAAAUAAUACAUGAACAAUUGAAUGCUAAUCCAAAUAUAAAGAAACAGCAUAUGAGGCCACAGGAACCAAUGGAAGCAAAAGGCAUUACCAAGCCAGACAAAAGACAAUAAAGGAUUUUCUACUAUUAAUACAGCCUUACCUGCACCAGUUCAUCACUUUUAAGUGCACACUGGGGAAGGUCUUCAGAUGGCAAGACACGGAUCCCAGCACCAGUAUCACUUCGUAGUUGUUGUAUAAUGGAGCCACCUUUUCCUAGAAGGCAGCCAACUUGAUUGCCUUGAACCAAAAUUCGAGCAGUCACAUCAUCAGCACUUUCAGACUUUUCCUCAUGGGCGACUCCAUCAUGAAUUUCAUCAGCCACAAUCUUAUCAUGUAUCUUCAAUAAGGCAUCUUGGGCAAAGCAAUGGGGUUUCAUGUUCCCUAAGCCAUCACUAAAUUUAGUUUCAGCUGCUUCAUCAGUCAGUUCAGGUUGAUUUUGGUAAUUGAAGAUGAUAAUUACUCUCUCAUCUGCACCAGGAAUGGGAUCGGCAACCCUUAUCUUGGCUUUAGUUUCUUCUCUGAGGGCCUUAACAACAUCACCACCUCUUCCCAAGACACUGCCUAUCUUUUUUACUGGGCACAAUAUCCUGUAGAUGGUUUCAACUGGCUCUGAGGACAUAGAUGUGUCAUCAUGCCUUGAGUUUAGCCGUUUCCUCUUUCUGUCCUCAGAAUUGGAAUAUGUCCUCUUUUUGGAGUUACUUCUUCUAGACUUGCCAUAAUCCAUCAAAAUCAAUCUUGCAGUUCCCCUUUAUCCACAUAAAGAAUAAUCCAUCAGAGCAAACAAACUGAUAAGAUACUGAUAACGAGGUCAUUAAACAAAGAUGAAAGGAUGCUGCAUGCACAUGUGCCUCUAGCAGCAUCCCCAAUGACAACACAUACACAGCCUUAUGCACGUAUAGCUGCUGCUGGAUGUCCAUGUUGCUAUUUUGUACUACAGAACACUAGCAUAGGCAAUUUUAAGUUCAACAACAUGUGUUGGCUGUUGACCAUGUACAGAUCAAGGCAUCCUGGUGAUCAAAAGUUGCAUGGAUUCAGGAUACAAAUUACCCACUGUUUGCUUUUAAAAUAUAUAAGUACAUUCAUUCAAUUCAAGAAGAGCUCCAUAUUAUUGAUUUCCUUUAAAAAUAAUGCCCAUGAAUAACAUGGUUCAUCUUCUAGAAGAAUUACAGCGAAUAACAAUGUCUGCAUGAAGUACGCAAAAUCUAAAGUCUUCCGGCAACUGAAAUCCAGCCUAAGAGAAACUCAAGGUACAAUUUUUUAUGUUCAAUUUUCCAGAAUUGCAGAUAUAAUGCCAGUAUGUGCUGAAAGGGAACAUCAUAUAAAGUACCAUGCCUAAUUUAAAUAAAUAAUGAAAACAUUAUAAAAACAGACAGGGGACAAAGCAGGCUAAAUAGUUUGAAAAAAAAUGCUAAAUGAACGUCUUAGAUGAAAUAGAAUAAAAACUUAACUGAGGCACAUUAUCACUAACAUUUCAUUACAAGCAAAAGGCUUCCUAGCAUAUGCAAGUAUGCAACUUGAAGCAAUUCCAUAAAAUAACCUCUGAAAUGGAUUAGCUUGUGCCCAUAAAAGAUGAGCAAUGACUUCACAAGCACACCUCAUCAACUACCAACUAGGUGCAAUGGAAAAUUUCUUAACCGCUCAUCUACAAUUCUACUAGCAUGUAUAAAAAAAGUAAUCAAACACUCACAUAAGCAUAUUUCAUAAGGGCAAUCAUUAAGGGCACUUCAGUAAGUGUAAAAACAUAACGCAGCAACACAAUUAUGCUGCAGCACAUUUUAACUGCACAGAUUCAGCAGAAUCAAUUAAUUUUGAGCCAAUAAAACAUGAAAGAUCCCAAAUUGAGGAUGCUAGACAUGAACCUUCAGGCCAGGGCUUUUGCACAGAUGAUUUGAGCUGCAGCCUGAAGCAUAAUUACACCCUAUGGUCAUUUUUAUUCAUCAUCCGGACCAGAGGAGCUAGUUCAAUUACUGAAGAUGAUUAUUGUCAGAAUGAAAAACCAGAGGUAGUACAAGGCAGGAAUUCAACUCAACCCCUACUUUUCAAAUAAACUCACUACAGCCUAAAAGAUCCACUAGCCCCAAACUGGAUGAGUUAAAGUACCUAUACUAGGAAAAGAGGACAUUUGUUUCUUUUCAGAGGACCAGCACAAAAGAUGUGGAUAUAGUGGCAACUUGCAUUGAUUCUGUAAUGUAACCUCUGCAAUAAUUUGGUUUCAUAUAAAAAAUGGUGAGGAAUGACGUGGAAAUCACACGUCUUUAGGGCAUUACCUAUAAGGUAAAAAGAAAGAAACAAAUUUCCAACUGCACAUCCUGAUCCUGUUGCAGCUCUAGCAAGGUUCCAAAAGGCGCUAGGCAGUUUUUAUACACAUACAUAUAUUACCUUAAAUUACCUUAAGUAAAAGAAAAAAUAGGAGACUUGUGGACCUAAAGUUGGAAGAAAGGCCCAUCAAAAGAGCUCAGCCCACCUUAUCCACCUAAACUUUAUCCCUUAACCCAGCCGCACACCCAGCUGCACACCUUAUCCCUUAGCCUCCUUCCACCCAGCCGCACACCCUGAAUCUCCCUCCCUCCCUCAGUAUGCGCCCGCCGCCGCCGGUUCCUCUCCCUCUCCUGCAUCUCUCUGUCCGUGCCCACCGCUGCCGAACUCGCACGCGCUCGCCGUUCCGCCCGAUGUCAGCGUCGCCUGCAUGCUCCCUGCCUUGGGUGCAUCUGCACGCAUACCGCAAAAGCCACCAGGCUGGCACUGCCUAAGGUACCGCCUAUUCCCCUAGGCCAGGCGGUACCCCUCCGCCCAGCGCAAAGGAGCGCCUAGGCUAGCGCGUAACAGCGCCUUUUUGAAGACUGAGCUCUAGUAGCAAUUUUUUGAAAAAAAAGCAAGCACUCAAAUAAAAUACCACAUAAGGCAAGUCAUUUAGUGCACUUGAGCACGUGCACAAAAAAUCUCAGUAAUUGUGCCCAUAAAUAAAAGAACACAUAAGGCAAGUCAUUUUGAGCACCUGGGAGCACGUUACUAGCACGGGAAAGAUACAGUUUGACUUCCCAUUUUCAGCUCACAAUAGCAUUCAAGAUCAAAAUUUUUAACUGCGCAGAUUUCAUCACCCACGUCAUGCUCAAUCAAUAGCACAAGAAAGAUGCCGAGCUGAGCACACUGCACGCGAACCCACUUGCAGGGGUAUCUACACGUGAUUAGUAUAAGCUCAUGAGAAUUCAACUGAACCACCAAACGUUUAGGAAACCAAUCUCGCUACGGACAAAAAAAAAAGAACACCCUGCUCCGCUAAACUGAUCGGAGAACAUGGGUGUACAAAUUGACGCCCAAUAAAUUUAGCAGAAAAUUAGGCACAGUACAUGCAUACACUUGUAAUUAGGUCAGAUCCGGUUACAAACAUCCAGACAGCUUAAGUUAGGGUUCGGGUGCUCGGUUUCGCACGGCAGGAAGGAAGGGACGAGAAGGGGUGCGUAUACCUGCUGGGUGCUCGUCGCCGGCGAAAGGGCGGACGAAGACCUAGGCUCCUAGCGUAGGCGGUGGCGGCGGCGGCGGCGGCGGUCGCCCGGUUGUCGCCACGAGAGAAAGCGCGCGCGGGCACACGGGGUGAACGGGAGAGCAAAGGCAGGGGCCAGGGGCAGGGGGUGAACGCUGUCGGAGUCCGUGGCUGUUCCUAUUCAGUUAGGCUUUGUUUGGAUAGACUUGGAUCGGCGUGGAUUGGUAUGGAUCCCGGUCUCGGAUGGAAACCAGCCCACACCGGAGUUUCAGCCCACGUGGAUGCAGAAUUGCGGAUUUGGCUGACGCCGGGUUGGAGCCAAACCCGCUUGAACCACGUCAAUCCAAGGGAGAGAGAAAUAUCCUCACCCGAGGCCGGGACUUUGCUCCCGCAGCACGCGACUCUGCCAGCGCUCCCGACUCGCCGGCGAGGGCAACGCCACCGCUCGCACUUGAAAAAGGUAUGUUCUCCGCCGCCUCCAAUUCUCGUUGGACUCAUUCCCUCCUCCCUUCCCUUCUACUCAGCCGGUUUCCCUUGUUAGGGUUUCAGUACACCGCGGCGGCCGACGAUGGCAUCGGUUCCUGGCGGUUUGGAUGGAGGGAGACGGUGGCAACUCCACGUCCUGAGGUGCGGAUCUACUCCUCUCAUUUCCCUUCUCCCCCUCUCGUUUUGCUUGAACAUGCUAGUAUGACAGUGGGAUGUUUGAACCUGCUUGUACGGUGCCGUGUUCCCAGGAGCUGUGCUACUUUUUUUUUUAACAAGAUCUGGAUAUUGUUUUCCUAAUGCCAUGCUCUUGCUUGUGAUAUUUUGUGUCAUGUUUGUACUUGCUGCACAUUAUUCCUAAGUUCCUGUUGCCAUUAUGUUUUUCUUUCAGUUUCUUGUGUAGGAAUAGUAGCAGCAGAAUGUGUUUUUCAGUAAAUUUAUGGUCAAAUUACUUAAGAAUGGAAAUAGAGGUUAGUGUAUAGGUAUAUCUCAGUCGCUAUACUCAUGUACAUUGUAUAUAUGCCAAAAUGGAGCACCAACUGCAGCAAUUUAAUUUACAAAACUAACAACAAAGUUACACCAAGAUUACAAUUUUUAUUAAAAAUAUUGACUUCAAUUAAUAUUACCCAAAAAUCAGUGUGCUGUCUUCUUUCAGUUUCCUUUUGGGCCACAUUUGUUCUCUAUACCCAUUGUUCAAAUGAGCUAUUGCUUGCAGUAGAUACACCAAGUUCAUGCUUGAUAUUUGCACAAAAGAAUGCAUGUUACGUUCUGCAUGCCUUAACAAGUAUCUUGAGAAGUUUCUUAAGUUUUGUGAUCUCGGCUUAUGUACAAUGUACAGUAGUCCUUGACUGUAUGUGCCUUUUCCCUUUUUGGUAGGACACCCCCUUAUCCUUCCAAACUGCAAUUGCUAUCCAGGAGCACAUAGAAAGCCUACAUGAGGCCGCAGUUAGCGUGAUUCCAAUCUCAGCUGCAGCUUGUUGCUGGAUUUGGCUUAUAACAUCCUGUCCCUGCGUAUUACUCCCUACUGUAGGUCUUCUUCCUCAGCUGUAGCUCGUCGCCAUCUCAUAUCUCUGAUAUUUGUUUGGGCUCAUGCUCGUAUAGCAGCGUGUGCAGACAGUUGAGACAGAUGGAAUGGAAAAAGAACAUGGAGAAACUUUAGCUAGCAGAACUAGGGCACGUUUGGUUUGUUACCAAUACCAAACCUCGCCGCAGCAUGCCGCACUCUCCGCCAUAUAUGAGGCAAGUGUUUGGUUCCUGCAGUUCAUUUUUCAUGCCACAUUCUGGCAAAUGUGCGGCGGCCAAAUUUGGCGUCGUAGUUCCGGCGCGGCCGCAGUUGAUAUCCGGCAUCCUACGGCAAUAACCAAAUGCGCCCCUAGCUUCUCCAUAUUCUCUAAUCUUUUGCUAUUUUUUUAAUAUCUUGAACCUUAUAUCCAUGUGUAGUCCUUCAGAAAAUCUUGUAGUAGCUCUUUUGGAAUUUUGUUACUUCUUGGAUGGAUGUAUGCUUUGCGUCCAUGCCCUGUGCGUUGAAAAUCUGAACACAGUCAGUAGCGCACACAGGUGCGGUUCAAAGCCUUGUGCUACUAAUGGCCUAGUUACUGGUUAAUUAUCUUGUAGUAUUGUAAAUAGUUAACCUGUGCUGAAAUGCAUUCAGUUCUUACAUAAGCCUGAAAUUUGUGACGAAAAGUAGUACAAAUUUAGUAUAUCUUGCUUUUGCUCAAACAGGAGUCUUGAGACUACCAUUUUUUAUGAUGUUUGUUUUAAUUGGUUGAUUUCUUUUAUGAUAAGGAAGAAAUAGUUAGUAUUUUAGUUUCUGUGGCUCAAUGAACUGCUCAGUUUGGCAGGCCACUCACUGUUUGUUCCUGGACUUCUCAGCUAAGUUUAGCUGGGCCUCCUCAGCCUAGGAGUAAAAGCAUUCAUAUUAUAAUAUUGGAUAGUUGCAGUAAAAAUAUUCAUUCAGUUCAAAGGAGGCCUAAACGUUUUCCUAGUAUUUGUUCAUAGCAGGCAUCAGGCUUACAUGCAUGAUUAGGUUCAACAUAUUUCGAUACAUUAUGACAUUCUUUACAUUUGAUUGCAGACUUUGAAGACCAUUAGGUCAAGGUCUUUGAUUGCAUAGUUCUGAAUGCAAGAGGAAGCAUCUUUUCAAUUCAACUUCUUUAGAAGUCGUCAGUUGCUGAACAAAUCAUGGUGCUGAUUUUUUUAGUCAUCAUUUCUUAGUGAAUUUUGGCACUAGUUAUAUAGUAAUUUUUUAGAAAGAAAUGUUGUGGGAAACAGUAACUGGCUGAUUGUAUAUUGCUCAAAGAAAGGCAGACUUUUUGUUUUGAAGUCUCUUUUUUGGGAGAUUUUUUUAAGAGGAUGUGAAGAAAUGUUAUGGCAAUAGUGCUAUAAUUUUCUGCAUGGAUGUAUGGUAUACCUUUGCUUUCUAUUUUUUCAUAUUUUUUUUAUUUUAAAAGAUGAAUUUUGGAUUCAUCUUGCUCCUUUUCUUUUGAAAUUUAGGGAUCAGCCUGGAUUGGCCUCGCUCUUUUUAUGCCUUUUUCCCCCAAAUUUUUGAGAUGAACUUAUGUAUUGCUUUUGUUCUUAGUUCACAAAUGAUGUUCGCUUUGGGUGUUAGCGGUUGUUUAUUAGAACCCCGGCACGCCAUACCAAAAGCAGAACCCCUGCCUUUCCAAAAAGCAACAUUUUUUGCUUAGGGGAUUAAACCCACAGGUGGAGGGGGAUUGGGUGGCGGAAGGGGAUUAACCCAAUCCCUUCAUGGAUGGAUUCUCACGUGGGUUAUGCCCCUGAAGUGCCAAACGAAGCCGGAAGGGUCCAAGGGACCACUGCCGAAACCGCGGGCCCCGCAGCCUAGGCAAAUUGGGGACGUAAUGAUCAAAGUCCUACGGAAGUCCAACUCUCCUAAAACAGCAAAAUCUUUGAGAGAUUUGUGCUUGGAGAGGAAAACAUGCAUUAUUUCCGAUAUAGACAAAAGGAAGGAAAGGAAGACAUGAUUGGCUUCUGUGCGGGGGCGAUCUUUGGGCCGUCCAAUAACGUGUGGCCUGGGAAGAUUUGGGGGUUGGAGCAGACAGGUUAGUUAAAGUAGGAUCUCACACAGCAUAUAGAACAACACAAGGAUUAAUUUGCCUGUUUAGUGCUAGGGGGUGCCGAGGAGUCUGGUGGCAAGAGGGGGGGGGGGAGCUUAAACGUUCUGACUUGGGUACAGUGGGUUCACUCACAUCUAAAUCAAAACCUCUCGCCACCAAGAAAGCCUAUUCGCGAGAGCAAGGUCGAGCGGGAGACUGAGAGGAAGAAGAUGGCGCGCAACUUUGGUUCACGUGAUAGAGGGGAAAGGGGGAAUGUGGGAGCGUUUGGGCCCUACCGUUGUGAUCGGGGUGCCGUAGGAGCAGGGCGAAGCUGGGGCGGACGGGAUAGUUGAUUUGGCGGGGCAGCGCUCCUCGUGGCGUUUUCAGAGGGGCUCGUCCUGGCAGGUCUGGAGGUUUCGGCAGGGGACGGGAUGGAUAGUUCCCUCCCCCGCCGGCUGGAGGUGGCAGAGGCGGCUCUGGGGACCAGGCACAUGGUAGAUGGGUGUGGCAGGAAGAUGGGCAAUAACCACAGGUGACCUUCAGAAGUCGACGGUGGGGCUCCAGGGCAGGGGUCUGACAUGGACUUGGAUUUGUCUGUGGAGGAUAGUUGAGCAAGUUUUCACUAUAUUUUAACUUCAGUUUUAGCAUAUGACAAAAGUGUUGGUUUCUUUGUUUUGUCUUGACUCUUUUAUUGGUAAUUGGAGUCUCUAUCUGUAACGCACCUUUUUUCCAGGUAAAAUGACUCUAAAUUUGUGCACCUUCUUCAGGUGAAAACAUGGAUUACAACCUUGGUGACACCUCCCCCGAUCCCUACGGUGGUGGUGGUGGAAGCAUCCACCUAGUGUGUGAUCAUUGCGGCACCAGUGACAACUACAACACUGACGACGCUGAUGAUGGCCAAUUCACGUGCCGUACGUGCUCUGCCGUGCACACCACACAGGCAACUGCUGCUGACCCUCAUUACUUCCCUGUCACUGGCAGCAUCUCUGUCCGCCGUGUUGCCACCCAGCCCACCCCCAAGCUUGGUGCCCGCACACCCGCCCCCUACCCGAGGACCCCUCAGGCUGCUUCAGUGCCUGCUGCUGCCGCUUUUGACGACUUCAUGGAGCUGAGUGAGCCGCGGGACUUUGCUCCUGGAUCUGGAACGUGGGGGGAGCCUGAGGAUUUGGCAGUGCGGGUCCGCUGGCGCUAUGUACGGGGUCUCCAGGUGAUCCUGCAGCGGCAGCUGGAGGUGCUGGUGGAGCGGCACCAGGUAGGCGCGACUGUGUGUGCUGUCGCUGGCAUUGUCUGGGUGAGGUGGGUUGCUGCAUCCGGGGUGUUUGACGGAAUCUGGGUGCACCAGGUGCUCGAGGACCACAAGGCCAUGGGGAGAGAGAAAUGUUCUAGCAGCAGAGGUGAGCCGUUAUGCUAGCCCUUGUUAGUCAUUGCCAUCAGAUGAACUGAACAGACUCUGACAUACAUCUAUCUCUUGUUGCAGAUAACAAGAAACCUGAUGAGGUGAAGUAUGAAUCAGAUGAUGAUAUGUUGCUGCAACGAAAAGACAGGCGCAAGGUGGAGUUUGCCUUCUUGCGCUCGUUGAGGAUGAUGCUGCCGGUUUACUCAACGUUGGCUGUUUGUUUCUUGGCCUGUCAUAUUGCCCGUGAAGCCAUCCUGCCAAACGACAUUUACAGGUGGGCAAUGGAGGGGAAUGUCCCUUAUGUGGCUGCAUUUACCGAAGUAGACAGGUUCCUUGGGAGCUCUUUCCAAGACUGCCCUUUGGAUGCAAGGCAGCUGUUCAGGCCGGUGCGAGUUAUUGGAGCAUGGCAACUGGAAGCUGCAGUUGGAUCCAUAGCACAAAAAGUAGGCUUGAGGCUUCCUUCAGUUAACUUCUAUGCAAUUGCUCAUCGUUGUUUGAAGGACUUGUUACUACCUAUAGAUAGAAUCCUCCCCCACGCAUGCCGAAUUUAUGAGUGGGCAAUGCCUGCAGAAUUGUGGUUGUCUAGUAAUCCUGCUAGAGUCCCUACACGGGUUUGUGUGAUGGCUAUCCUAAUUGUGGCCCUACGACUUCUUUAUAACAUCAACGGUCAAGGGAUAUGGGAGGUGUGUUUGUCACAUUGAUUACCUUUCUUCAAAACAUCUUAGGUCCUUGAGAAAUGCAUAUGACCUGAAGUAACUUUUCUUUGCAGAAGAUUUGUGAGGAAGGAAGAAACACAAGUGAAUCUCACCAUGAUACAAAUUCAUCAACUUUCAGGAAGCUUGAGGCUAGUAACAGUGAGGAGUUUGGCACAAGAGAACUGUUGUGUGCUAUUGCAGCUGCCUAUGAUAAAAUCAAUACGACACAUGGUAAAUUUGAAUUUCAUUGCCUUGUCUACACAUUAUGUUUAUCUUGUAGUAUACAUGGUAGUUCGCGGCAUGCUUAUUCUGACUGUCGGUAGUUUAUAUCCACUUGCUAUAUACACUAAGCGUAAGAAUUGUUGAUUGCAUAUUCCACGUCUGCUGAAUCCAAGACCAACAUAUGUCUUUUUCUGUCAAUCAUUCUGUGUUUCUAAACUUAACAAAAUAUGCAUAACUGUCCUACACUACAUGAUUAUUACACCUCUAGUAAUACCCUAACAUAGAGCAAUUAGCAUCAACUUUUGCCAUGCACAAACAGGGCAAACUGAUGGAGAACAUUGAACCUGUUAUGUGGUAGCUAGGAUCGAGAAGGGUGAGAUGGGGAAGCAGCGACUGCUUGCGUGCUACAGUACCUGCAGAGCUACAUUACCUGCAGGUACUGUUCAUACCGGAUGUUAUGUCGGCGGCUAGGGCUGCGAGGGCGAGAGGAGGCCGGCCGGGGGCCUUGCCCACGGCCGAGCAAGAGGAAAGUGUUUUCCUUCUUAAUUCUUACUUGACCUCUAAGCAAGCGACCUUUAUCUCUAAUUAACCCUAACACUAAUGGGCUAUGGCACCAGCCCAGGCCCAAUAGGUCCCUUACGUACUCUAACACUACACCCCACCUAGUGUUACGGCGCUGGGCUUUGCUGCGGAGGUUGUAGGGAGGAGAGUGGAGAGGUUGAGGGCGUGAGCGUUGGCGGCGGCGGAGAGCUGUCGCUGGCAGAGCAGGAAGACAUACAGGGAAACAGGGAAGGGGUGCUGGGUGCCCAAGGGUGUCUUAGACACAAUCCCAGGCUGAGCCUGAUUCAUUAACUUGACUGGACUUUAUAGUCCUAUUACAAUCUAGGUAACAAACUCUGAUUCCUUUAUCAAACCUGGACUCUAACCCAAACUCUAUCAUAUCUUUCCAAAAUCUACCUAAUCUUAUCUAUCUCAAACUCUAACAAACUAUCCAAAUUCUAGUCCUAUGCGCCAGGACUCAGCCCCCUUGCUGACGCCUGCGCUGGUAGGUGUUGCCUACCAUAACAUCUCUCCCCCCCUCGGGAAACAGCUCGUCCGCGAGCUGGAAGGAGGGGUAGGCUUCUCUGAAAUCUGGAACUGGCUCCCAAGUAGCAUCCGACGUUGGCAGACCUGACCAUUCCACGAGAACGUGCCAUACACCGCGACGAAGUUCAGAACGCAGCACCCUUUCUGGAUGAAGUAAAGGCCUGCCAUGACGAAGAGGAGGCAGAACUGGUUGGGACAACGGCGGUGUGCCGCGAAAUGGUUUGAGUACCCCGACAUGGAAGACAUCAUGGAUACGAGCGUCAUCUGGAAGCUGCAGACGGUAGGCCACCUCACCAAUGCGUUCAAGCACUUGAAAAGGGCCAGCAUACUUGGGUCCCAACUUGCUGCGUCCCCCCGGAACCAAGGACUGCGUAUGACGGUGGAGCAAACGUAGCAGAACCCAGUCCCCAACAGCAAACUCCAGGGCACGGUGAUGAGCAUCAUAGAAGCGCCUAGCGUACUGCUGUGCCUGGAGAAGCCGACCGCGAACCUCUUCCAAGAACUCAUCACGGCUGGUCAGGAGAGCAUCAACCACCUCAGUGCGGGCAUGUCCUGAGGUAUAUGGCAGUAAGUCCGGUGGUGGUCUGCCAUAAACCACUUGGAACGGCGAUGUUUGCAGCGCCGUGUGAUAUGCUGAGUUGUAGCAGAAUUCAGCCCAUGGCAACCAGUCAAACCAAUCACGGGGACGGUCACCAGUCAAACAACGGAGGUACAUGGUUAUCGUCUUGUUCACAGCCUCUGACUGCCCAUCCGUCUGUGGGUGAAAAGCGGUGCUCAUGCGCAACUUCACCCCCGCAUGUCGAAACAAAUCCCGCCACACAUGACCGGUAAACACAGGGUCACGAUCACUGACAAUAGACUCCAGAAUGCCAUAGAGACGCACUAUCUCCUGGAAGAAGGCACGCGCGACCGAAGAAGCCGUGUAGGGAUGGCCCAAAGGAAUGAAAUGGGCGAACUUAGAGAACCUGUCAACCACGGUCAGCAGAACACUUUUGCCAUGGACCUUUGGCAGCGCCUCGAUGAAAUCCAUGGAGAUGUCCGCCCAAAUGCGCGACGGCACCGGCAGGGGCUGCAGCAAACCAGCAGGGUGGAGCGUUUCAGUCUUGUUCCGCUGGCACACCGCACAAGACCGCACGUAGUCCCCUACGACGCGGCGAUCGUGCUCAACGAAAAACUCCGAACGAAGCCGGAGCAAGGUCUUCUGUACUCCCUCGUGGCCUCCUGUGUGAGCGAGCUGUAGAACAUCUUCGAGGAGGCCUGACGAGGACGGAACGAAGACACGCCCUUUGUGGAGCAUGAGCCCUUCCCGAACAGUCCAGGCCUCACCAUGCGCCCCGGACGCCACCGCAUCGCGUCGGGCACAGAGUACAGCAUCAGCCUCCACCUCCCUGCGCAGUUCAUCAAAGAGCCGAAAGGUGGGAACAGAAACAGCUGCGUAGCAAGCCACUGUCGGCCCUGCAAGUGCAGCCAGCAGCGGCUCUUCGCCGUCCCGCCUAGAGAGAGCAUCAGCAACGAUGUUGGACCGGCCCGGACGAAAUUCGACCCUGAAAUCAUACCCAAACAGUUUGCUUAUCCAAUGAUGUUGAGGAAUUGUAGAUAACCGCUGAUCCAGCAUAAACUUAAGGGCGUAAUGAUCUGUCCGGACAACGAACGCCCGCCCCCAUAGAUAGGGUCUCCAAUGCCGCACGGCCUGAACGAGGCCGAUAAGCUCUCUCUCGUAGGCCGCCACCUUGAGAUGACGGGCAGCAAACGGCCGACUAAAGAAAGCAAUUGGCGCGCCAUCUUGGUGCACCACUGCCCCGAAGCCGGAGCCCGAGGCAUCGCAAUCGAUGAUGAAGGUGGCAGCGAAGUCGGGCAGGUGUAGAACUGGCGCCGAAGUGAGAGCAGCCUUCAGAGCAGAGAAGGCCAAAUCGGCCGCCUCCGACCACUGGAAUGCGUCCUUGCGGAGCAGCUGCGUCAAGGGCGCUGCAAUGAUGCUAUAAUCCUUGAUGAAACGCCGGUAAUAGCCGGCCAGUCCGAGGAAACUGCGGAGGCCGCGUGCUGCACGUGGCCGCGGCCAAGACUGCACGACUGCCACCUUGGCGGUGUCCAUGGCCACGCCCUCGGCCGUGAUGACGUGGCCGAGGUAGUGGACAGCAGCAGUGGCGAAGGAGCACUUGAACCGCUUGAGGUGGAGACGAUGAGCGCGAAGGACGACGAGGACGGCGCGCAGGUGCUGCAGAUGUUCCGUCCACGAGGAACUAGGAACUGUAGAUGAGGAUGUCGUCGAAGAAGACGAGCACGCAGCGGCGAAGGAACGGCUUGAGAACGGAGUUCAUAAGCGCCUGGAACGUCGACGGCGCGUUGGACAAGCCGAAAGGCAUAACCAAGAACUCGAAGUGGCCAUGAUGCGUGCGAAACACCGUCUUGUGGACAUCUGCAGGGUAAACGCGAACCUGGUGAUAUCCCGAGCGCAAAUCCAACUUGGUGAAGAACUUUGCGCCAUGCAGCUCGUCCAGGAGUUCCUCGACAACCGGAAUUGGGAAUUUGUCCUUGACUGUCGCCGAGUUGAGAGCCCUGUAAUCGACGCAAAAGCGCCAAGUCCCAUCUUGUUUCUUGACCAGCAGGACCGGAGCGGAGAAAGGCGAGGUACUGUACUGGAUGAGUCCCUGCUGUAGCAUCACCUCACACUGCCGCUCCAGCUCGUCUUUCUGCAGCUGUGGGUAACGGUACGGCCGCACCGCCACGGGCUCUGUGCCGGCCUUCAGAUGAAUCCGAUGGUCGCAGGCUCUAGCCGGGGGCAGCCCCUCAGGCUCAGUGAACACAUCCUGGUAAGCGUCCAGGAGCUGCUCCAGAAGGGCGUGUUCAGCCCCCUUGUCGGUGUAGAGGUUGGUCGAAGACAGGGCCACAGAUGGGGCAGUGCAGGGCGCACCCACUCCUGUCCACACCACCUGGCGGCCCCGGAGGGUGAACGCCAUCCGUAGCGUUGCGAAGUCCCAAAGUAUAGGCCCCAAAGCACGCAGCCACGUGAGGCCUAGGACCAUGUCGUAGGGAGCCAACGGGAUCGAGAAGCAGUCCACCGUGAAGCGUUCAUUGCCGAUAAGGAGCUGAACGCUGCGGGCGAGCCCCUGGCACGCGACGCGAUCACCGUUCGCGACGAUAACAUGGGCGCCAUUGCUGUCUGUGAACUGCAGGCCUGCGCGGCUAGCAGCAUCUGGGUUGAUGAAGUUGUGCGUCGACCCUGAGUCCAGAAGAGCCGUGAAGUCGUGGGCACCGAUCGUUACACGCAACUGCAUGGUGUCGCGCGCCCGAAUGCCUGUCACCGCGGACAGUGAGAUCAUCGGCUUCUCUGGGUCGAACGCUGGCUGCUCGGUUGGUGGGUCGUCGUCCGGCUCGUCGGGCUCCUCGACGAUAUAAUCAGGCACCUCCAGAUAGAAUAGGCAGGCGCAUUUGUGCCCUCGGACGAACUGCUCAUCGUAGUUGUAGCAGAGGCCGAGCUUGCGACGUUCAGCCAUCUCCUCCGGCGUGAGACGCUUGUAGGGGCGCGCAGCCGGCGUCGGAGGCGCCAGUGCAGAGGAGGGCGAGCCACUGGUCGGUGCCGGUGCCGACAAGGCUGCUGGUGGACGUCGCGCCGGGCGUUGGGGUCCUGGUAAGGUGGGCAGUAGGACUGCAUUGCGACGCUCGUAUGCCCGGGCCAGGCGCAUAGCAUGCUGGAGGUCCUGGGGAUCCUGGAGCUCGACGUCCACGCGGAUGUAGUCCGGCAGUCCACCCGUGAACAGCCGGGCACGCUGCAGCGAUGAGAGAUCGCCUGCGUGCGCGGCCCGUGCUUGGAACGCCUCCAUAUAUGCGUCGACGUUGGAUCCGAACGACAGCCGCGCCAAGUCCGCCAAGUGAUUAGUGCUGAUGGCGGGCCCGAAGCGCUGCUGGCAGUAGCGACGAAAGUCCGGCCACGAUGGCCGGCCGACGUCGGUUUCCAGGACGACGUACCACUGCUGGGCUACCCUUUUGAGGUGGUAUGACGCCAUCCAGACUUUGUCCACCUCGCGCGUGAGUUGUCCCCGGAAAAAUUGCUCACAUUUGUUGAGCCAACCCAGUGGAUCUUCCUUGCCGUCGUAUGUUUCGAAGGAGAUCUUGUGAUACUUGGGGACGGCGGCGGACUCCCAUGCCGGCUGAGAAGGCGCCAUGUGGGCAGAGGCCGGCAGUGGCAGACUCUGCGUAACCGAGCCAAACUGCGGGAUCGGCGACGAAGAGUGAGGGAAUUGGAUCUGUGUGAUUGGAACUCCCAUGGGUGGUGGCGCCGGUGCGGACUGCUGUCCCUGCGGAGCUGUGGAUGACUGCUGCAGUGCAGGGAACACCGACGCAGAUGAGUCCUCGGCAGCCGUCGUGACUUCCGUGAUCAGCGGCGCCGAGGUCGCCGGUAGUUGGGGAACACCCCCGAACCCCGGCAAGCCGAAUUGGGGGUACCCUUGCUGGGCGUCCAUGGCCGUCAGUCUAGCGCCCUGGGCAGACAACUGAUGGUUCAUGGCUGACACCUGCAGCUGCAUGCCAUUGAACGCGGAGGUGAGUCGAGCGAGCGAGUCGGCGAUGGAGGCAAGCGUGGGCGGCUGGGACGGCGGGGUGGUGGGGAGGAGAGCGCCGGUGGUGGCGGUCAGCGGAUGCGAAGCACCCGUGGCCGCGGACACGCUGGUCGACGGCGCGAGCGGCGCGGAGGCAUCCCCGGUCGUUGCCAUGGAGUCUGAUACCACGUUGUUACGGCGCUGGGCUUUGCUGCGGAGGUUGUAGGGAGGAGAGUGGAGAGGUUGAGGGCGUGAGCGUUGGCGGCGGCGGAGAGCCGUCGCUGGCAGAGCAGGAAGACGUACAGGGAAACAGGGAAGGGGUGCUGGGCGCCCAAGGGUGUCUUAGACACAAUCCCAGGCUGAGCCUGAUUCAUUAACUUGACUGGACUUUAUAGUCCUAUUACAAUCUAGGUAACAAACUCUGAUUCCUUUAUCAAACCUAGACUCUAACCCAAACUCUAUCAUAUCUUUCCAAAAUCUACCUAAUCUUAUCUAUCUCAAACUCUAACAAACUAUCCAAAUUCUAGCCCUAUGCGCUAGGACUCAGCCCCCUUGCUGACGCCUGCGCUGGUAGGUGUUGCCUACCAUAACACCUAGACAUGCAGCUCGUCCUUGAGCUGCAACCUAACCAACUUAUAAUGAUGACUCGACUCGACACAAACCUAACACUUAAAAACAAGCCUUUUACAUCUCGGUUUAUUUUAUUAUUCCCAACCUGAAAUGGACUGGAACGCUUUAUUUGUGACCCUACACGUAAGGUGGACACCAUCUGCACGCUGGACCUACACGUCUAUAGCCACCUAGAUCCCAUGGACACCAUUUGAACGAAAGGGCUGCAUGAGUUUGGCCCCCAGGAGGUGGUUGCCACAGCGACCAGCGAAGACGCCCUCGUGGUGGCCGGUAGUGGAACGUGGAAACGCUAGGCAGUGCGCUCCCUCCGGUGACCCCAUGCCUUCUCCCCGCUGCAUGGCUGCUGGUCUGCAUCACAGAAAGGAGAGUGGAGGGCUUUCGAUGGAGAACGACAAUGAGGGGAGUGCCUCUCCUACCGCCGCCGAAAGCUUUGAGUUAGUCACCUGCGUGGCAAACAGCAUGCCCACCACCCAUGGGGCCAACCACAGGCUCAAGAUCCCCGACGCAGCGGACAAGAUCAAGGUCCUCCGCGCAGUGAAGAGCAACUUGGAGGAGCUGCGAAGGGGUGCAGGGUUGAAUCAGCUGUAGAUCACGCAUCACCCGCACCUGAUGGCGCUGUGGCCGUGGGCUGAAAUGACUGGACCAGCCCCGCCACGGUGGCCUGCAUUGUCGCCAUGAAAAUCUGCAUCGCCGCCAUGUUGCGCGACAGCUCAGCAACCACUCCUGCAAGAGAGUCAAGCGUAAGCAGUUGGCCGGAAAACGCGGAGGAGAGCUCCAACGAAGUUGAAGGCGGUGGCGCAGCUGUGACGGCUGGGGCUACGGAGGAGGCUGGCGGCUGCGUGGAAGAUGGAAGGGGGCCUGACAUUGCCGAUACCAGAUGUUAUGUGGCGGCUAGGAUCGAGAGGGGUGAGAUGGGGAAGCAGCGACUGUUUGCAUGCUACAGUACCCGCGGGUACUGUUCACGCCGUAUGUUGUGGUGGCGGCUAGGGCUGCGAGGGUGAGAGGAGGCCGGCCGGGGGCCUUGCCCACGGCCGGGCAAGAGGGAAGGGUUUUCCUUCUUAAUUCUUGCUUGAUUAGAUUGAUACAUUUCCUCUCCCUAUAUAGAGAUGUUUACUUGACUUACAAGCAAGGCUUACUUGACCCCUAAGCAAGUGACCCUUAUCUCUAAUGAACCCUAACACUAAUGGGCUAUAGCACCAGCCUAGGCCCAAUAGGUCCCUUACGUACUCUAAUAGAACCACUUUGCCAUGUUCUUCAAUUAAGACAAUUUUACUUUUGUCCUUUUUUUUCUUUCUAAAGAUGUUGAGUAACUUUCUUUCAGCAUUGGAAUGGGAAGUGCAAGAAUCUUUCUAUGGUUUGGUUUCCUUUUGUUAUAGAAAGUAGAACUUUGCAAAGUCAAUAAGAUGCUAUUUCAUGAAUAAAAUAAUAUGGGAUUUUUUUUGUGCAGAUUAUUAUGAAUAAAUUACUGACUUCAUUGUAUUUUAGUCUAUAUUUGAAUUGAUAUCUUUGAUAAAAGUUAUCAAGGGUUGACUGGACAUAUUCUUGAUCUUGGUUGACAUUUUGUGUCUGGUGGGAGUACUUCUUAAUGGUAGGGUACUGACUUGAAGUUUUCUUAUUUUACAGACUACUCAAGUGAUCUCCGCUCUUAUCUCAAAUACUGCAAGGAAGUUAUCUUUACUGGGAUUACAUUUUCAGAUGAAGAGAAUCAUCUAAUAGAGAUAUUUUGGGAUAUGUACAAAGCCAGAGAGGUACUGCACUUUGAUUGGCAAUGCUGUUAAUUCUUACCUAUUUUCCUUUUGCAUGAGGUGGAUAAAAUAUCAUAUAUGAAACUGUUAAAUUGUGCCCAUUAUGGAUCAAUCGCUUUCCCUUAUCAUACCCUUGUGUAGUUCUUCCUGUCCUUGCUAUGUCAGUGUCAUGUGGGGCCAGACCUACACCAGACACCGGUGCACCCGCGAUGUGCAGCAUGCUGCCGAGCGUGCAGAACGCGCGGGGACGGCCCAGGACGCGCCAGCCGCCAGGGGCUAGGAGGAAUGAUAGGAUUAUUACCUAUUUUAAUGAUUAGUUACCUAUUUCUAUUCCAUAAUUCUAGGAGCAGCUUGCUCUAUUCGGUUGGGCCUUAGGCCAUAUAUACUUGUAACCAGACAUUUGGAUAAUUAAGAAAGAUAUUGCCAUCUAAUCUCUCUCUCCCUUCUACAACCGAAGCUAGGAGCCGAGGGGCAAAACCUCGCCCUAUGCCACGGAUCAAGGCUACGAGCUUUGUAGCUGCGGUCCAGCUAUCCGAGGGUUUGAGGCCCUUGAUAGUAACUAUGUAAACUUUAAAUGACUUGAUAAGAAGGUGUAGCACAUCAGCUAAAUUUUACAGUAAACUAUCUAUAGAGUACAAAUUUAAUCCCCAUAUAUUUGAAAAAGGGGGAAAAUAACCAGAGAGGAAUGAGGUGGGGACUUCUAUUUGCAGAACUUUUGCGGCACUUGGUUAUAAGGACAAAUUGAGUUAGACCUUGAACCUUGAAAUUUUGUUUGGUGUAGGAUCCUGGUUAGAUUUUAUUAUGAUAGCACCAUUCUUGUUGGCUUGCACAAACUUUGUUUUUGAACUGUAAAUUAUUUUGAUGCUUAUGGUGUUUCAUUGCAGGAUGAUAAUCCAAAAGAUCAUGUAAAAUCCCAGUCUCAUUCUAUUGAAGACAUUCCAAUUACAAAUGGAGUGAAGAAGCGCUACCGAGAUGGAGCUUUUGUUGAAGCAAGUUCCUUUUCUGCAUCUUCAGGUCAUGAUGCAAUGCAAAUGCUCAGGUCAGAGAUGCAAGAUCAUGGAUUUCAUUAUAUGCCACCUAGGAAACCAAGGAAAUCAGAUGGUUAUCUUCGUUAUAGGAGGAAGCGGCUAAGCAGUGGCUUUAUUUAUGUUGCACAUGCUGAUUAUUACAUGUUGCUACGUGCUUUUGCAAAGCUUGCAGAAAUUGAUAUUCGUAUCAUGCAUAUUAGUGUGUUAAAAGUUGAGAGGAGACUCGCAUGUAUUGAGGAGCGAAUUGAGAGAAGCUUGAACACCUUACAGAACUUUUCUACUGGAACAGGAGAUGAGCUAAGAUCUGUAUCUGACUGAAGUUCCUAGUGUAGUCUCAUACUCUGCUGUACUGCUGUUUUGGCAUCUUGAGAAACAUAAUUACCCUUGAGCAUUAUGCCUCCCAGUAUUGCUGUUUUUACGUAUACAAGCAUUUAGUUUCAUGCACUUUCUCAGUCCAGGAAUACAAUGUGAUUUUUUAGUAUUAUCUGAAUGUGUUUGUGUACUGAUGGCACGCAAAGGAAUACCCCCUCCAUUCUUUUUCUGGAAAAAAGGGUCACGUGUGUAACUGUGGUUCCAAAGGGCUUCUUUCUGUGGCCUCUUGGCAUUGGUAAGCAACCUGAGCACAACAAGGUCAGGGCAGGAUGUGGGUCUUUAUUUGCUGAAGCAAUAUGUACCGAGAAUUAUGCUCCCUUCUUUAGAAUGGACAUAAUUAUGUCAGGGUCCUAAUCAGUACCGUGGUGGAUUCAGUUCCAGUAGUAGACCUCAUCACUGCUCGGCAAGUCAGCAUCGAUGAUACUUGGGGAUCUGCAAUCAUGAGGCAUUUCAGUUUGGGAACUGUAGUGGCAAGAGGAAAAAAGGCUGGAAUCUGGGCUUUCAAAAAAAAGAGGGGGGGGGGGGGGGGGGGGUGUUCAGGAAUCUGGAACGCUGGUUGGGUGGAAACGGCAAGGAAAAUGGGUGAAACUAACAAAGAAAUUUGACAAACCUUUUAUGUUCCCUAGUUAUGAUGCAAAAUCAAAUUUGAAGUCCAUGGUGUAACAAUUUUCUGAAUCAUUAGACAAUAAUGGUUCAAUUGCACAAUUAGGGAUGAAAACGGUACGGAUAUUUUCCGAUCGUAUUCGAGACCGAAUUCGUUUAGAGGGGUUCAAAUCUGUCCGUAUCCGAGUCCGAAUAUUCAACAUCCGAUGCCGUAUCCGUAUCCGAAUACUUAAAUCGUAUAUUUAUGAUGUCGACAUCCAAUCGUAUCUUAUCCGACGUGGUUGAUAUUAUCCGUAUUCGAAUCCGAAUCCGACUAGAAAUAUAAAAACAAAUAUGAUAUCGGUGAUAUCCGUCCGUAUCCGAUCCGUUUUCAUCCCUAUGCACAAUGAUGAUUUUGGCUCUAAAACUAAACUUGAGUUGACCGGAAAACAUCACAUUGCACUGAACGCUAAUCUUACUAUUACACUUCUGCAUCUUGGGAAACAGAAACACAAAUAUUGUCCUUGAUGGAUUGCAGAAGUAGAUGACUUUUUCUGUCCUAUAUAGUGAUGGUUCUCCCAUUGGGUGUUUUUUUACCUACCGACCUGCUAUCUGAUGUUUUCAUUUUUGCUUCCAUUUAUGAUGUUGUCAGGGUUAGUAUAAUUGGUACUGUCAAAGCUGCUGACAGAACUAAAAAAAAAUCUUGCUGUGUUUGUGGAGUUUGAUGCGGGCAAGCAGCUCGAGGAACUAGAUAUAAGGGACAGCAGGUCGGAUCAGUUGUGGCUUUAGUAAAUAACCGCCUAUGAUAAAUUGCAUAUUGUGUAAAAUGAUACCCGCAUCUGUAACUACGAAUUAAAUUUUAAAUUUGUACCCUCACAUGUUGGGUACAAUACCUGUGGUACCUUCAUUAAACUUGUACCCUCACAUGUUGGGUACAAUACCCGUGGUACCUUCACUUGCGAGGUGAAGCGACAUACCUGCAUCUUUAUCCAUGGGUAGAAUCUUAUACCGUGCCCACACCCAAGGUAGAAUUGCAGAUGCCUUCUCAUCUGUAUUUGCUUGCUGCUGACUGAAGUGUAUGCAGCUUUCAAUGAAAUCACCUUGAUGUACCUUCCAACACUUGUAUAAUUGAGCAUGGUGAUUGGGUCUAGAUCUGGUGUGUGAGCUAGGCUGCUGCAGCCUUGUUUUGUUCCAACUAGACAUUGAACAGAGCUGUGGAGUACUUGAGAUAUAGGGCCAACUAGAGCUUACUGUUUUAUAUGUGACAAGAAAUUGGUCGUACUAGAGAUGUAGGCUUCAAUGAUUAAUUAAUAUUUGUAUGUUUGUGUAGCAGGUUAUUGCACCUUGAAUAUCAGUUUGGGUGGGUUAGUGUUGUUAAAGUAGGAAAUAUAAAUGCGAUAAUAGAAAGGAAGAACUUGUAUUUAGCAUUAAUUUAAGGACUGAAUAAUAUAAGGUGAAGUGGUGCGGUAAAAGGGUGUCUAGUUAUAAAAGGACAAGACAACCAUUCCCACUAGGACAUCUACCUCUGUGGUGGCCAUAUUAAACUAAUGCCUACUCUAAUCUUGAUAAGAUCACUCCUCUGUUAUUUGGGGAUGCAACUUGAAGAUGUGUGAAAUCAAUUAUCCCCGCUUGAUCUAAUCUUCCUGUGAAAUCAAUGCAGCUGAAAUUGUAUAGCUGAGAUUCCUUGAUAAAAAAAACUAUGGAAAAAAUCUAAAGAAUAUACCGAUGUAACAUUUGAACUCCUAGAUCCAGUGGGAAAAUAAGAAAUAGUAUGGGCCUGGCUAUAGAAUAGUGUGUGUAUAUAUAUAUAUACACACACUAUGGGUCAAGAUAUAAUUAUUUAUAGGCAAAUUAAAAAUGAUAAUACAAGUAAUAAAAAUAGCUUGAUCGGAGAUCAGACGCACAUGUCCAAACAGAAUUAUUUACAGGCCCCAUUAAUAUUAUUAGUAAUAAAAAUUAUCUCAUCCAGAUAUUGGACGCCCCUGACAAAUUUACUAACUCACACGUCAUGGUGAAAUUAUUUAUAGGUUCAAUUGAUGUUAUUAUAAAUAAAAAUUACCUCAUUGUGAUACUGGGCACCGCGUUGAUUAUCUCAAGCAAAUUUAUUGUCACUGACAUUUAGUAAUAAAAGAUUUAUCUCAUUGGGGGCAGUGGUAAUAAAAUUUAGCCUGCCCUGAGACCGGAUGUCUAGGUGACUAGACAAUCAUUUUGACCGCUCACAUGUUAGGAUGAAAUUUUUUACUAAACAAAUUUAUACUAUUAAUAAUAAUAAAUAUUCUGACCGGAGGCUAGACAACCCGUUGAUUAUCAUACGCAAAAUUGACAACUCAUAGAGCAGACAAAAAUAUUUACUUAACAAAAUGAUACUAUUAGUAUUUAAAAAAUAUUCUAACCCGAGAACUUACAACCCAUUCAUUAUCACAUAAAUUUACUGCUUAUAGGCCAAGAUAAAAUUAUUUAUUUAACAAAAUGGUACUACUAAUAAUAAAAAAUUCUAACAGAUACAGGACAAACCUACAUAUUGUUUCAUGUCUUCAUGACUUUUUGCUUUUAAUAAUAAGGCUGUAGCAUAAAAAUAUUAAGAAAAUUCUUACUUGCAUAUUGCUUCUUGGCUUUUCAUUUCACUUUUAUAAUAGAAGGCUAUAACCUAAAAGUAUUUAGGAUAAAAAUAUUGAAAAAUGGCGUGUGAAACAAGAGACACCGAACGAAGACGGAAGCCAACGUUCCUUGAUUCCUUCUCUCUUCACCCUCGUCCCACUCCACCUAACAAUUAGGCGAAGUUUUAGCGCCAGCUAAGCGGCUGCGGAUGGGAGGAUCCUGAGAGCACCCUGGAAAUCCAAAACCCUCUCGCCGCCGCAGCGGGAGUCCUAGCUUUGGACGACGGCGGCCGUUGCAGUUGCAGAUGGCCACCACGCCCGCGUACAAGCUUCGUAUCCUUUGAAUUUCCGGUUUAGGGAUUUUGAAUUGGAACUUGAAGUCGGAUUGCUCUUGCCUGCUGUGUCUGGACUGGUGCAGUUAAGUUGUGGUUGGGUUGGGGGUUGGAUUCACCCGUGAUGAUCGAAUUCGAUUCCAGGUUCUGAUAUUACUGUUCAUGUUGGCUUCAUCCUUUGCCAUCUGGUCUUGUGAGACUGUGAUUGAGUGGAGCAGUGCAGGAGUUGCGUUCCCACCAAAGAACGUAUUCAGGACCAUCCGAGUUGUCUUGCUAGGUGGGGAUGGAAUGAAAUUUUAGUGCUGCAAAGUUCCAGACCUGGAACAUUACAGCUUCCUGCCUGAAAUCAAACUAAAUUUGGUGGUCUGGAUUAAAUUUUGUUUACCAGGAAUUUUGACUUACGUGCUCUGUAGCUUAUCAUUUGUUUGGUAGGGCUGUAUCAAUUGCUGUUAAUGGGGCCACACUGUAGUAGGGGAAAUCUAUACAGGAUUCUCAAUGCUCAAUGUUAAUUCUUUCGACUGAGAACUUCAACUUCAUACUAAGUAGUUCUUUCCAUCCAGAAUGUAGUUGCUACUAUAUCAUGGAUAGUGCAGCUGCUGGUAUGAACUUAGUGCUAUGCCGAAAAUUGGUAUCAUUUCGAUAAUUGCAAUGAUGAACAGGCAUGCUGAUCAUAUGAGCAGUUGAGUAUUCUACUCUGAAUUUUCAGUCAAUAUUUUUUCCUUGUAGAAAUGUGUGUUUAGAUCCUUCUGGAAAAAAUAAAUUAUGAAAGAAACUAUAGAUAUGCUGGGAUAGGUUCGUGGUAGUUGAAAACAUUAUGUUAUAUAUUUGGAUAUCAUGCUGGGAUAAGACUUCAAUUAUGUUUUUUUUUUUGAGGGAACUAGAAGAGCCAUAGCCCCUACAGAGAUUUUAUUUAAUUUAAAAAGGGAGUUUUCAGGUACAAAAGAAAAAUUACAGGCGGCAGAGACAGCCACUUAGGGAACAAAAAACGAACUUCAAUUCUGUUGUUGUAUUAUGCAACCUUCAAUAUGUCUUGUUUCCUUGACAAUGAUCAGAGGAGUUUGUCGCGCAUGCUUCAAAUGUUAAUUGUGCCAAGUUUGGGAGGCGAACAUCAAGGAUCCUCAUCACUGGUGGGGAGGAUCUGAAGGUCAAUCUUUGGGCUGUGGGGAAACCCAGUGCCCUCCUGGUAAUUUCCUAUAGGUUAUCCUGCUGAUUUACUUGUAAUGUCAUUCUUGCUUUUUUUCUUCCUUUUUUUUUUGCCAAUCAGUUAUCUACUUCAACUCAUUUUCAUUGUACAUUGCAGAGUCUAUCAGGUUUUACAAGUCCAGUUGAGUCAGUAAGCUUUGACUCUUCUGAAGUUACGAUAGGUGCUGGUGCAGCAAGUGGAACGAUAAAAAUAUGGAAUAUUGAGGAGGGGAAAGGUAUUAACAAGUGUUGACACUCAACAGUGCAUUGAAAACAUGAACUGCAACUGUAUCAUGCAAUAAUCUUAGUUUCUAUUGACGAUUUGCACAAUGUGCAGUUGUUCGAACUUUCACUGGGCACAGAUCAAAUUGUGCAUCUCUUGAUUUCCAUCCUUUUGGAGAAUUCUUAGCCUCUGGGUCUUCAGACACAAACAUGAAAAUAUGGGAUACUCGAAAGAAGAGAUGCAUCCACACAUAUAAGGGUCAUACCCGACGAAUUAAUGUGCUUAAAUUUACUCCUGAUGGUCGAUGGAUUGUAUCUGGUGGGGCUGAUAACUCAGUGAAGGUAAAAUUUUGAGCAUGUCCGUUAAUUAGUGCAAAAUAUUCAAAGACCAUAGCACCCAAAAUUUAAGGUGUCUUACAAAUUACAACAUGGAUGUUAUCAACGAGAUGGACAAUCUCGUUCUAUCAUUAAUUAAAACUUUACAUCAUAUUUCCUGAUCACUGAAAUUUUGUUUAAAAUAUCUUGCUAGGUCUGGGAUUUGACGGCUGGAAAACUCAUGCAUGACUUCCGUCUUCAUGAAGGUCCAGUCAACUGCUUAGAUGUUCACCCCCACGAGUUUUUAUUGGCUACAGGUUAGAUUACAGGUUCUAUAUACUCACACGGUAGUGAAUUUUUCCUCAUGUCAAAUUUUCUAAAAUAAGAUUUCUAUUAUUUUUUGCGGACUUAUUAGUCCCUGUUCCUCAUGCUUUUUAAUUGUACAUCACCUGGAGAUCUAAGUAACAUAUUCCAUGUCCUUUUCAAAAACCUUUGCAGGUUCAGUUGAUAAGACUCUUAAAUUUUGGGACCUUGAGACUUUUGAGUUGAUUGGUUCUUCUGGACCUGAGGUACCAUAUCUAUUAUAACGACUCACAAAAUGAAUCAUUCAUGUCCUAAGUUGAAACUAUUCUAUGCUCAAAAUCUGAAUCAAUGUAGCUCUUGAACCCAAGGUUAAUUAGUGAUCUGGAAAAAUCUAUUUUUCGAGAAGGCUACAGUUUUAAAAAAUUGUAUUUAAGCAUUAGAUGAUUUGAUCAUAUGCUUGAAUUAAUUGAAAUAUAUUCAAACUAAGAUCCACCAUUAUGAGUUUUUUUUUCAAAAAAAAAGAUUUUUCCAACCUUAGUCUGUUUGCCACUCUGCCCAAGUAUGAUCCGUCGCAAGGAUUCAAGAAACAUAUAAAGGCAGUAUGAAGUACCAGUUUUUAUUUAUCUAUGUUGUCAUGAAAUAGUACCAAUGACCAAACGAAAUUUACCAAUAUAAUUCAGCAUCUCAGACCAAAGAUUGCACCAUAUGAAAAACUUUCUUAGUGAAAUAGCUAUUAUUAAGCAUGUGUAACAUAAUACUUUGUGAAACAACUUGUCAAGUUUGAGGUUUUGUAAACUAGGAGUAUUGGUAUACAGUUUUUUUUGACUCUUCUAUAGACUGUUGGUACUCUAAAAAUAGGUAUAUUUGCAUGCACUUUUUUUUACUCUUCUUUAGAUUGUUGCAAACUAGAUAGUGGCACAUAUAUCUGCUGUAUUUCAAUUUGAUGAAGAAGAAUCUAAUGUUACUGUCCAUUCUCUACCUUGUUUUUCUUUUUCUUGGAUAUAAUUAAACUUUUCUUCCUUAAUGCAGAACAGCCGGGAAUACUUUGAGCCGGUAUGGUUUUUGAUCACCAAUUUCUUCACAUCAUCCUAUGCCUGGAAUUUCUGUGUGGAAAUGGAUGACAGGCUUGCUUAAAUAAAGCACAUGAUCUGUAUCAGAUAACCAAUUGCCUAAUGGUAACUGUCCUCAAUUUUCAGGCUAGCGUAAUUCGUUCUAUGAAAUUCAAUAGUGAUGGUAAAACAAUUUUUUGUGGAUUACAUGAAAGCUUAAAGGUAUAUAUCCAACUGAUUUAUCAAGAUCCUCAUUUCAUUCUCCAGGAAAUAAUAGUGGAACAAAGGUCAUUAUCUUUUUGCUUGUAGGUUCUUUCCUGGGAACCCAUCAUAUGUCAUGAUGUGGUUGAUGUAGGCUGGUCCACAUUAGCAGAUCUAACUGUAGACGAACAGAAACUUCUUGGUUGCUCAUAUAACCAAAAUUGUGUCAGUGUGUGGGUUGUGGAUUUGAUGGUAUGACGUGUUAUGCAUAAUUUAAUAUGUUCAGUUGAGUUAUUUCUUUAUGACAUGGUACAUACAUAAAUUUUCAGAGAAAUGAGCCUUAUGUUGAUAGUAAUUCUGGACCACGCUUAAAUGGAAGUGUAAAUAGGCUAGUCGAAUCAGAUGAUAGCAUGUCAUCAGUGUUUGGAAGGCUAUCAGUUUCCAGAAGCCCAGGUACUGACAGCAGCAAACACUUUUCUUAUGAGAUCUCUUCGUUAUCUCUGCACUCUAAAACCAGAUAUGUUUUUGUACUUUUUGAAACAGCCAAUGAAAUUGGAUUGGGUACUCUGCUUGGACGCUCAAUGUCUGCUUCAAAAGAAAUUCCUGUCUCAACUUCUGCAUCAACGAAGGGGUUGUCAAAGCCACCUGGAAAAAGGGAUCUCCAGCUCACAAGAUCUGUUUCUACACCUCUUCUUUCUCCUAGAGUUAGAUUGAACCCAAAUUUCAUUGACAGACGGAAGAAUCAGCCAGCUGCUGCUGUACCAUUACCAGAACCAAUAGUCCGCUUUAAAGCGAAUCUCUCUUCAGAUGCUGGAAUGUUGUCUCGCAGUUCACAUGCAUCAGAAGCUCCCAUGUAUAGGUCAAGAUCUAAUAGUUCUCGGUAUGGUAUUAUGGAAUCAUCGUCUUUACCUGUUCUGACCCUGAGGCAUAGCCCUAGAAAGGAUGCUGGUCCCGUUCUCAGUGAAGCAGCCACAGUUGACUUAGCAGAUAUUGAGCCUCAAAAUAUAGAAAAAGUAGGUUUAGCUGCCAACCAUGGCAAAGAAGAUGGCAAGUUGGUACCUGUAAUUGUUUCAAGGAGCUCAAAGAUGGUUGAAGAAGUUGGCUGUAGAAGAAUCACUAAUGAUGUAGGAUAUAAAAAGGUAACCCUAGAAAAUAGUUUGAGAGUUAAUUCAGAUAUUGACUAUAGAAGGAGAGCUCCGGAAAGCCAAGAGGUGCAGCAGCUUAUACCUCUGUCAGAACCUAUUAGUUCAUCACAGAGGAAAUUUAUAAGAGAAUCUUCGGGUGCUGGGGACAAUAACUGUUCUGGUUUGAUGUGCACUGAAAGUGUUGAGUCUAAUGAAGUUGGUAGCUGGUACAGUGUAACUAGUUUUGAUAAAUGGAAUCCUGCUGCCGCAAGGAAUCCAGAAUUUGCCAGCAUCCACAGAAAUGAAGUGGUUGGAAUAAGCCAACUGAUGGAGUCAAGUGGAGAGCAUGCUGUUGACGACCGUAAGUGAUCUAUUGACCUGACAUUGUUCUAUCGGUUUCAGUCUCCUUCAGAAUUAUCACCAAGCUCUUUGGUUGGAACAGGACCUUCCUCUUCUAAUUUUGAUAGCAUCCAGUAUGUGACAACACCAUACAACUCAGUAUGUUUACUUCCAAGGUUGUGUCAUUUUGGGGCCAAUAGUAUUUUUUUUUAUAUGAAACCCAUUAUGCACCUCGUAUUUUCUGUUUUCUGUAGAGGCUACGCCCUUCACUUUCUGGAAAACUUAGUGCAUCUGCAAGUGAUGAAGAUGAUAUGUCUGGUCUAAUGGAAAACCAUCAAGAAUUCAUUCAUGUAAUGAAGUCUCGGCUAACCAAACUAGAGGUAUCAAGGGGUCCAGAAUAAGAUCCUCCAUCGAGUAAUUAAGAAUCCAUUUGCUGCUGUGGGACACAAUUUGUUAUAUGUAUUGAGUAAUUGUAGUCACUAUGUGACAUUUGCAGGUGGUUUACCGGUGCUGGCAAAGAAAUGAUAUAAAAGGAUCUAUUGAUGCUACAUGGAGAAUGUUGGAUUUUGCUGUAUGUACUCUACUACUCUGUUGUAGUUUCACCCAUUACAUUUUCUGAAUGUUCUCUACUCUUGUAGGUCACUACUGAUAUAGUUAAUGCUCUAAUGGAGAAUAGGAACUGUAUCACAUUAGAUGUUUGCGCUUCUGUCUUACGUCUUACUGCCAAUCUUCUUGAAAGCACAUAUGACAGGUCAUUUCUCAUAUUUCCUCUUAAUUUAUCAAUAUUAGAAUUGUGAGACCAUUUAAAUUUGACCUUGCUAUUGAACAUUGGCUGAUUUUAUUUUGAUUAAAAGCUGACCAAAUGCUCUUUGGAGAGCUGGACCUUGUAAUGGGAAGUAAAUCUGAUUAUAAUGUGUCCCUUCCUCAAAAAGAGAUGGAACUCUGAAUAUGCAGAUAUUAUAUACUGUUCAUGUACGGCCAAAAUUCAAAUUGUAUCCCUAGCUGGCCAUUGUAUUCAAGGCAUGACAUGUGCAGAUUUAGUAUGCAGAUAUGACAUGCUGUUCAUGGUUCAGGCUAUAGUCUAAUUUUAGCACUAGCUGACCAUUCUAUACAAGGAAUCGAGGCUAUGACACAUGCAGAGUUCUACAUCACUAAAACUACAUUUGCACGACUGUACUUUUAUAAUUCAUGGGAGUCAUGGAUUCCACAGUUCCAUGGAUAUGGAUCGCAAUCAAACAGUUUAGCGACCAUGUCCAUGUACCAAUGUCCUGCUGUACCAUUCCCAAAAAGGAAAGUGCCAAUGGUAACACUAACACUAGUAGCCUCAUUAAUUAGAAGCUUUUUGAUUGUGCAAUCUUUAACUACCCCUUCGACUGUUUUAAGUUCGUUUUCACAGUUUGUAUAUGGUGCUACUAGUAUGAAAAAUGACCGACAGUGUACAUUGCAACAGUAACUGUUUUGUCAAAAGUGAGAGGCUGUAGGUGAUCGAUGUGCAUUGACACUUUUCAACGCAGGCAUAUGAGCAUUGCCUUGGGGAUGAUUCUCAGUCUUGUCAAGAGCUUUGGUUCCACCAUUUCUUCAGCUUUGUCGGCUACACCACCUGUUGGGGUAGACCUUGAGGCAGAGCAGAGGUGUUUUCUUCUUUUCAUCUCAUUGAAAAUUGUAAUGGAUUCUCCUUCCUGCCUCAUACUUCACAAGCGCAUAUCUUGCUAGGUUGGAGCGGUGCAAUCUAUGUUUCCAAGAACUGAAGAAUGUGAGCACCAGCCUCAAGUUUCUGACAAGGUUAGCUUAAAUGGCUCUAGCCUCUUAAGUAUCCCAUGAAACCUCAAAACAUUGUUCAGUUCAAUGAACUAAACUAAUUGAUGUCUCUGGGCAUUUCCUUUGCAGGCGGCAAGGCGAGGUUGGGAGAUCAGCUCAGGAGCUCAACCUUUUUCUUCAGGAUAUCUUUCAAUUGUCAUCAAGCGUGUAAACAGUGACCAUAGCACAACCUGUAAAAUAUUCACGCACUCCAUUUCCUUUGGUCAUAACAGAUAUAGCAACAUGGGAUUUACAGCUAGAAAGAAAGAAAUAUAUAGAAAUAGAAAUUACAUACAUGUGUAGAAAAUCAAGGGUCAAUUAAAUACUAUAUAGAGUGGCUUACAGGGAUUUUUUUUCUCCAUUUUUAAGGUAUAUAGAGAAUUCAGAGGUUCUAUGUUUUUGCCAUUGCGUGUGCACGCCCUUUGUUUGCGCCUGUGCUUGGGCACCUAAUGACAAAUGUACAUAAGCAGCAUUUCUUUUAACUUUUAUAUUGGCAAUUUAUUACUGUCAUUUCCAGUUUUUCACCCCAUUUCCUUUUGAUGAUUAGCUGAGAAAUUGUGCUCUACUAUCAACAAUGCGAUCCACGUGCAGUUUUUCUUUCCUUUUUGUUAAGAGUGAUUGUAAAUGAACUGUGUAUAUACAAGUGAGGGGGUGUCUCCAAAAGACAUGACAGUUCAUGAAAGGACAGGCCCUUUCAUGAUAUGAUUAACUGCUUAUGCUAACUGCUCUAUCUAAUGGAUGAGAUCAUCUCUGGAAUGGUGUCCGUUGGAAGCGACAGUUGGCAUAUGCCCCUUCGGUGGGCAAGUGCCCGUUCGGUGAAAGACACCGGUUCACAACACUCCCCCUUGAUCCAAUCUUCGUUUAUAGAUCAAUGCAGCUAUCAGUUGAGAUUCCUCGAAAAACCCUGUGGGAAAAAUCUGAGAAAUAUAUAGAUUGAUAUGCUAUAAAACUCCUUCAAACCUUUUAGUAAAAUAAGGAGAAACUAGCAUAUAUUUGGAUGAUUUAAAUAAAUCAUGAUGUCAUUGGUAUCCCAAUUAGAAACCCCAGUGGGGAAAAAUAUUGGGGAUACGACAUUGAGAUAACUCCCCUAAAAACCAUUUAGGAAAAUUUUGGGGAGUAAUAUAGUGAUAUGUCGCUAAAACUCCUAUAAAACCCGGUGGGAAAACUAGGAGAAAAUGUGAUGACAUAUAGUUGAAAUUGCCUCUAGAAUAACUUCACAUGAAAAACCUUUUUAGGGAAAAACCAUGGAUAAGUUGUGAGGGCAAUACGUGCCUUUGAUAUUUUCUAAAAAAACCCCAAUGGGGAAAAUAGAAAAUAUGACACAUGCUUAUAUUAAUAUUACCUCAUUAAAAACUUUCACAAGAAACCUUGAGAGUAAAACUUGUGGAAGAAAAGAGUGUAAUAUGAUGCUGGAACAGGUGAGCAUCUAGGAGAUGUCUCCCCCCUGAUUCUUGCAAAUUUCGAAGUCGCCGCAUACCAAUGUCAUGUACAAACUUUUGGAACAUGGAUGUUGGUAAGGACUUAGUAAAUAGGUCAGCGAGGUUAUCGCAUGACUUGAUUUGCAAGAUGUUUAUCUCCCCACUUUCUUGUAGUUCAUGAGGAUAAAACAACUUAGGAAUAAUGUGCUUAGUCACAUUACUCUUUAUGUAACCUGUUUGCAUCUGUGUAACACAAGCGGAAUUAUCUUCAUAGAUAAUUGUAGGUGAUUCCAUAGAACCAAUACCACAUGACUGUUGUAUGUGGUUAAUCACUCUGCGAAGCCAUACACAUUCACGUGAUGCCUCAUAUAGUGCAAUUAUUUCAGAGUGAUUUGUGGAGGUCGUUGUUAGGGUCUGUUUAGAAGACUUCCAUGAGAUAGCAGUGCCUCCAUGCAGGAAUAUAAAUCAUGUUUGGGAUUUGCCUUUAUGGGGAUCAGAUAAGUAACCAGCAUCAGUGUAUCCUAUCAAUUCGGGAUCAUGAUUUUUCUUAUAGAAUAAACCAAGAUCCUUUGUGCCAUUAAGAUAUCUGAGGAUAUGCUUAGCUCCCGUCCAAUGACGUGAAGUUGGAUUUGCACUAUGUCUAGCUAGUAAGUUCACUGCAAAUGCUAUAUCAGGCCUGGUGCAAUUUGCAAGAUACAUAAGUGCUCCAAUGACACUAAGAUAUGGAACCUCGGGUCCCAGUAUCUCUUCAUCAACAUCUCGUGGUCUAAAUGGAUCUUUCUCCAUUUCUAGAGAACGAACAACCAUCGGUGUUUUUGAAGGAUAGGAUUUAUCCAUAUUGAAUUUCUCCAAUAUUUUCUGGAUAUAUGCUGAUUGAUGCACUAAAAUUCCUGAGGGAAGGUGCUCCAGCUGUAAGCCUAAGCAAUAUUUGGUUUUACCCAAAUCCUUCAUUUCGAAUUCUGUCUUUAGGUGAUUGCGUGCUUCUUCUAUAUCCUUUGGGUUGCCAAUGAUAUUUAAAUCAUCAACAUACACGAAUAUAAUACAGAAUCUCGUUGGGGACUUCUUAAUGAAAACACAUGGGCAAUCAUCGUUGUUUGUGUAUCCCUUCUUUAGAAGGAACACACUCAGUCGGUUGUACCACAUUCGUCCUGACUGCUUUAAGCCAUAUAAUGACUUUUGAAGCUUUACACAAUACAUGUUGCGAUUUGCGGUUGCAUUCGGAAUUUGGAUUCCAUCAGGAACCUUCAUGUAUAUGUCCGAAUCAAGUGGCCCAUAAAGAUAUGCAGUCACUACAUUCAUCAACUGCAUAGAUAGAUGAUUUUGAACUGCCAAUGAUAUUAAGUAUCGGAAAGUAAUUCCACUCAUUACUGGAGAAUAUGUUUCAUUGUAAUCAAUGUCGGGUCUCUGCGUGAACCCUUGUGCUACGAGCCUUGCUUUAUAUCUCACCACCUCGUUGUUCUCAUUCCGUUUCCGGACGAAAACCCAUUUAAAUCCCAAAGGGAAGAUUUUAGGAGGUGUAGCUAUUGUAGAAGUGAAUACCCCUCUUUUAGUGAGCGAGGUUAUCUUAGCUUGAAUUGCAUCUUUCCACUGGGUCCAGUCCGAGCGCUUUUUGCACUCUGCCAUGGUCUUGGGAUCUGGAUCAUUUAGGAAGAUUUCUGCAAUUGCUGCGGAGAAGUACAUGUCGACAAUCAUAGUCUUACGAUCAUAUGAUUCUCCAGAAUCAAUGUAAUUGAUGGAAAUUUCUUUCACCCCAUUUUGUGACUCAACAUUUCCCAAAACUAUGGAGUCAGGGUGUUCCGAUGUCCUAGGAUCAGUAUUUGGGUGCACCGUUGAUCCGGGUUGUGGAUUAGGUUGUGGUGUUGGACUUUCAUCCACUAUUGGGUGUCUACCAACUUGAGGUUGGCUUGGAUUUACUGAUUUGGAGGAUCUAGUCCUCGGUAUCCUCGGACGCUUGCUUUGAGCAUUAUCCUUCGGUGCGGCCGUACUUCUCCCCCUUUUCUUUAGAAGUGGGGGUUGAAUGGUUUUUAUUGGUACCUCCACUCUUUCAGGUGCAUUUCGUGCAGGAUAAGAGGAUUUAGUGACACCCUUAUAAUCAGUAAAUGCUUCAGGCAGAUUAUUUGCAAUGUGUUGCAAGUUUAUGAUUUUCUGAACUUGUUGUUUAGUCUCUUGAGUACGUGGAUCUGAGGGGGAAGUGCUUUGGGCAUUCCAAUUGAUUUCCUGGUAUUCACUAUGGUACUUGUAAUCUCCCCCUAAUGCCGGGAAAUGGUUCUCAUUGAAUAUGCAAUCAGCGUACCGGGCCGUGAAUAGGUCCCCUGUAAGGGGCUCGAGGUAUUUUAGAAUCGACAGAGAUAGAUACCCCACCUAGAUCCCAAGUUUCCUGUGUGGGCCCAUAGCGGUACGCUUAGGUAGUGAGAUCGGUACAUAUACAGCGCAACCGAAUUUUCGCAGAUGGGAAAUAUUAGGCAUAUUGCCACAUACUAAUUGCAUAGGGGAGACAUCGUGAUAUGCAGUUGGUCGCAAUUGAAUUAAGUCAGCAGCGUGUAAGACUGCAUGACCCCAACACGAAGUCAGUAGGUUGCAAUUUUGUAGUAAGGGUCUUGCAAUGAGUUUAAUUCUCUUAAUAAGAGAUUCUGCUAGACCAUUUUGUGUAUGGACAUAAGGGACAGAGUGCUGAACUUGAAUACCUGAAGCCAUACAAUAAUCAUUGAAAGCCUUUGAGGAAAAUUCAGCAGCAUUGUCCAUUCGAAUAGAUCGAAUUUGAUGUUCAGGGUGAUUUGCUCUAAGUUUGAUAACUUGAGCAAUAAUCUUAGCAAAAGCAUGGUUACGUGUGGACAAAAGGCACACAUGAGACCAUCUAGUAGAUGCAUCUAUAAGAACCAUGAAAUACCUGAACGGUCCAGACAAUGGUUGAAUGGGGCCACAUAUGUUGCCUUGAAUGCGAUCAAGGAACUUGAGUGGCUCAUUUUGGAUCUUAACAGGCGAUGGCCGUAUGAUCAAUUUCCCUAUAGCGCAUGAAGUGCACAUAAAAUCUGAAGAUUUCGGGAAUUUAGCAGUAUUCAAAGCAUGACCAUUAGAAUUGCUGAUAAUUUUUCGCAUCAUCCCUAUACCGGGAUGACCAAGGCAAUCAUGCCAAGUUUUGAAUGCAUCGACAUUCUGAAAAAUUACCUUGUACGCAACAUGUGGUAUGGGUUUGAUGUAUGUGUAGUACAAUCCUGAAGGAAAAGAGGGAAUUGUCUCAACAAUUUCUUUGCCAUAUCCGCUAUCUUUAGUAACAAGGAGAAUCUCCUCGUUAUUGUCAUCACGGGUUUCAAUAUGGAAACCAUUUUGACGGAUAUCUCUAUAACUUAGUAGGGUACGCUUUGAAUCGGGAUACAAUAGAGCAUCCUCAAUUGUGAUUUGGGUACCCAUAGGGAGUACGAUAGUGGCACGACCAGAACCAAUAAUCGUAGCAUCGCGCUCAGCGAUUGUCAAAACAUUUCCUUGUCUCUUAGUAAGAGUUUGGAAAUAUUUUGUUUCCCUAAUAAUAGAAUUAGUGGUACCGCUGUCCACUAGGCAUAGUUCCUCCUCCAUGGGAUUGACCCCCGUAAAAUACUAUAUAUAAAUGAAGAAUUUGAAAUCAAACUCUUUGAUAAUAUAUAGAAUACAUACUAUAUUUAUUGAAUAUCAAUUAUUGUAACAUCCCCGAUGUUACGGUUACUAAAAGUGGAUCAUGUCAUCAUGAGCAUUACAUAGUAUUUUUGUUAAGCACACACUGAUGCACUAACUUAAAAUAAGUUUAAAUUUGGUUGAAUGUGCUUAGGAAUUUAAGUGUGUUUAUUUUGUGUAUGGAUGUUUGUGUUGGUGAUUAAAUCCCUUGGGUGAAAGUUUUCCGAGAGCUAAAAGGGGAAAAACCCUAAUUUUAAACCCUCGAUUUGCCCCCUUUUGUGCAAUUUAAAAACUAAGCAAAAUUUGAAGUUGUGUUCAAAAUCAAAGUUGAAGAUCUUGUCAAGAUGUACAACUUUGGUGUUUUGAGUUUUUGAAGUUUCAAUACAAAAUUCAAAGUAAUUUUGAAAAUACAGAUUUCCGGAAAGUGUCCCCUUUUCUAAUUUGAGUCUUCAAUUCAAAAUCUAUUUGGAAUUUUGAAAAAUGGUCAACAUGAAAGUUGUAGGGCUUGAAAAGUUGAACAACUUUCAUGUUGGGAGUUUUUCAAGUUGUUUUGGAAAAUCAAAAGUAAUUUUGGAAUUUCUAAUCUGCCCCAAAUAAAAAAAUUGAAAAUUUUCCCAAUUUGAGAUUUGAUUUCAAACUGUUUGGCUCAAAUUCGUCCCUUUCCUUUUGAAAUCAGUCUUGGACCCUUAAAGAUGUUUUGUAGCAUUCAAAAUUCUGAACAAGUUUUAUGUUGGCAAAAAUUUGACUUCUAUUCAAAUUUUGGUCGAUUUUCGCAAAAAGACAGAAAGGGUAAAUGGGGAAGAGGGAGAUAAGCUUUGGUCACUGUUCUUGGCGGUGUGCAGCUGGUCUUGGAUCAGCGUUUGCCAGCGCGUGAGCACCGUUUUACCUCGUCCAAGCACGUGCUCGCGUCCAUGGCGAGGUGAAGCAGCUGCUGGCGAAGUGGAGCGCGGCGUGUCCCUUCCUCUUGCGCUCACCGACGUCGUUUUGCCACCGGAGCACCGACGGACAGCGUUUCACUCAAAUCCAAAAUUCACCGCAACGGUUGAUCCAUAUCCAAAUUCACCGUGGGCAUAUCUUUGUUACCUCCUUGCGCAUCUCCAGCACCCACCCUUCUUUUCUCUUUCACACCAGAGCACCGGAAUUCAUCGUUUUUCCCUGCCGCCGGCGACAGAGCGCCACCGUGGUCAAGCUCACCGUGGUCAGCCCAUCCGGGCAACUCUCUGCUCUCUCUUUCUCUCGUCUUUGCUUCGACAUGACCCCGUGAUGCUCAUCGGCUCGUUCUUUUCUCCGUUGCUUCACAGCUGUCGCCGGAACAUCAUCUUCUUCGUCGGAGUUCGCCGCCGGAGUCACUGGUCGCGUGGACGAGUAUCACCCGAUUGUUCUCCGCUCCUUCUCUCUGCGUCAGCACACCCAGGGUGAGAUGCCGAUGCUUCCUGACCUCUUCAUCCUAUCUCUACCGGUCCAGGGUCACCGGCGUAAGCGCCGCCGCGGCCAUGUCCGCCGCCGCUCGUGGCCAGAGCUCGCUAGAGCAGUAGAAUUCGAGUUUUCUAGCUCGUUCGGUUGCGGGUUGCUUGCUGGUGCUCGUGCUCGCCUAAGUUUGGUUCGGGGUGGUCGGAGUUGGCCGGCGUAACCCAUGCCGCCGCGUUAUGCCGCGCUCUGGUCAGCCGGGGCGUCGGGGACCUCGUUGUUGUAAAGAUGAGAAAGGGGAGGGGGUUGGUUGCGAAGUCCUUGACUCAAGUGAACAGUCGUAUGGACUGCGGGUUAGUUUAGUUUAAGCCGAGGGAUCUUUUUGCAAGAUCGCCAUGGGGCGCGGGUGUUUGGCCGGCUGGGCCGCUGUGCGCGCGCAGUGGGCCGCUCAGCUGGGCUAGUGCUGGGCUGAAAGCCCAGUUAGGGCUAAAAUUUGUGUUUUUCUUUUUGUUUAUAUUUAAACAGUAGCUAGUUUUGUUAUUUUUGCUAUAUUUAAUCUAUAGCUCUGAUGUUCAUGAAAAUUUACAUGCUAUCUUAUGAUAUGUCUGUGCUAAUAUAAAAAUUAUCAAACUUGUAUAUUGAGUAACUUUUAUGUGAUAAUUAAAUCCAUGCUUUAAUUAAUAAAUGAAGCUUUGAUGAUUUAUCUAGCUCUCUGUAAAAGUCCAAAAAUUAUGAAACUUUACAUGUGAGUUUGUGUUACUGUUAUCUAUCUCCAUGAAUAAUUUCAACUCUUUUUGAUAAAGUAUGAUUUGUUCCAUAAUAAAGCUAAGAAAUAGAAAUAAUUAAUCCCUUUAGGAUUUGAGUGGUAUUUUGGAUUGAUUGACAACCAGUGGUUACUUAGCAUGAUAUGCUCCCUGGUUAUGGAUUAUUUUAUAUAAAUGAUCUUUGUUGUUUGAUAGCUACACAACAUUGCUUAAUGAAGAUGCUAAAAUUUGUUUAGUAGUAAUCUAUGCUUUGAUAGCUAGGUUAGUUUGUUUCUUUACCAUGAAGGUAAAUUGUACUCGAGGCAGUUAUGUUUGUUGUUAUCAUCCAAGAACAUGUAACCUGUCUUUAUCAUGUCAUGAACAUCGAUUUGAUCAUGCAUAUGCACUUUUACGUAUAGACUACGCUCCGGAGGAAUCUGAUCCUCAGUGGGUUGAUUCCGAGUUUGUGGAUCCUUCGAGUUUUGCUGAGUUGUCGAACUUCCCUUCCGGCCAAGGCAAGCCCCCGAACAUUAAACCCUAUCCUUGUAUUUUCAUAACGUUAUUUAUAUCACUUGAGUUAAUAUGAUGCAUUAGGUGAAUAGGAGUUGAGUGAAUCCUAUUUGCUGCAUUAUCUACCUUGAUGAUUUCCAUAUUAACCUUGAUACUUGUUUUAUGAAAAUACUUAGUAUGCUUAGCCCUGCUUAUUAGAUAGGUUUUCAAAUGAGAAAGUUUGAAGGGUUGUUGUGGAAUACUUUUAUGGUUAAUAAUGUUUAAACUUGAGACCGGUCGGUGGACUUGCUUUAAGAAUGGAGUCUUAAAGUAGUGUCUCCAACUGUGUCGAUUAAGGACCGUUCCGUUGAUGGCCUGCUGUGUUUGAGACCUUUGAGUACAGCCCACAUGCGAUGGUAAGCCUUACCUAUAGCUAUUCCGAUACUUGAGAACGGCUAACCGCGUACUGGGAGUGGAGAGAUGGCGAGAGUAGCGUGUACCCACCUUACGGAUCUGAGAUGACCGGGAAACAUCUAGAUUGGCUGUAGGAUGGUGGUGUACUGUACUCUCGGGUGACGCUGGACCCGUUCUUGUAUGGGAGGAUCUAUAGAAAAGGUUGACAUAUGCAAGAUUAAGUUCUACAUAUGUCGUGUGGUACUGAAUCCCCAGCUGGGUUUAAUCGAUUCGAAUCGUCGUGUUUCCUCGGAUAUGGAGCCUCAAUCCUCACACCAUCAUCGUAGUAAUAAGUGAAUCUUUGGUAUAAGAAAGAUAUGGUUUGCUUAUGAAAGUUUGAUAAUAAUUUAGUUAGUCAUAAAUGAUAACCUUGAGUUAAAACUUGAAAGUAAGUUUUAAUCUUAGUAAGCUUCUAUGCAAAAGAAAUGCUUUGAUUUUGCUAAAGCUUUACCUUGAAUCCCUAUAGCCUGCAUACCUGAGUCUUCACCUCUUUUAUAGUCGGUUAAGUCUUGUUGAGUACUUUUGUACUCAGGGUUUAUUGACCCAUGUUGCAGGUGAACCUUUUGAUAAUCCUUUUGAUGGUCGUUGUUACUUCACUCUUGUGGAGGAAAGUGAUGAUGAUGAAUCUGAUGUGUGACCUUGGGCAAGUAAAAACUUGUUGUGUGGAUUAUGGUUUAUGUAAAAUAAAGUUCCGAACCUUUUAUGUAUUAAAUACUCAUGGUUUGUAACCGUUGGACUUAAGUUUCAAUCUAUGUUAUGUAACCUUUCCGCUUUUACUCUGAUUUAUCUUAUCUUUGAAAAUGUUGUAAUGCUGUAAUGCUUAAUGGGGGAAUUCCUAGAAAGAAUGUAACGUGGAUGAUUCGGGUUUCCCGAGGACACCCGACAGACUUCUUGAGUCAUUUGGUUCUCGUGCACGCCGAUCAGAAGUCUUUGAGACAAUGAUGGGUGCAUGUGGGCCACUUAAUUCAGGAGGUUCUGCCACAAUUAUGCAUACAAUACAUUUAUUGGAUAUCCAAACAAAGUAGUGAUGACUUUAUUUAUUUACAACACAUAUAUAGGACAUAAUUGUGCUAAUUAUUACAAUUAUGAGGACACUAGUUCUUUGGAAUCUAAGAGAUUGGGAGCCUAUUCGAGGUCUCCAUAUAUGUCGUUGGAAGCAUAUUCCACGAUCAUAUUCUCUGUGUCAGCAAGAUCCUGGCCUCCAUGUAUGUCGUUGUUGCUUGGUUCCAUAGGAACUUGUUGCGAACAACCAGCCUCUUCCCUGGUGGUGUCAGGUUGAAGAUUGAAGUGGGCUUCAUACUUCUAUCCUCGAGCAGCACGUCCACGUCCCACAGACUUUAGGUAGAGAUCAACAAGAUGACUAGGGGUACGACAUUUCUUUGUAGCAUGGCUAUAGCAACCACACUUUUGACACACAGGUUUGUCAUUCAUGCAUUUCGGAAUGUCUUUACCCUUGUUGGGAACACGAUUUUGGGAUUUCUUAUUGCGUCUGCGAUUGUUUCUACCUUUCUUAGGGUUUCCUUGAUGAUGGUUCUUAGAGGAUCCAUCAUUAGGCUUGGAUUUAUUCUGAGUGUAAGCAUGUACUUCAGGCAAUGGAGCAGACCCUAUAGGGUGCUGCUGGUUAUUCCAAACCAUAAGUUCAGAAUGCUUUUCGGCCUCAAGUAAGGUUUGAAUCAACUCAGAGUAAACCUGGAAACGCCUUUCGCGGUAUUGUUGUUGAAGAAUCCUUUCAGAGGGAAGCAUAUUAGACAAAGUCUUUUCUAUCUUAUUCGCAUACGUAGGUUCUUUCUCGCAGAAUUGCAACUUUGAGCUAAUUCUAUGAACAACAUGAUUAUACUCACUCACAGUUUUGAAAUCCUGUAAGCGAAGUUGCAUCCACUCAUAGUUGGCCGCGGGCAAGACAAGUGCCUUUUGCUGUUCAUAGCGUUGCUUAAGUGAAGUCCAUAGAUUGUGUGGAUUUUCUUCCAACAAAUAUUCAGCCUUAAGAUCAGGGUGAAUGUGGCUCCUAAUAUGGUAUAGGGUUGUAUAAACGUGUUGAUGUUCAAGCGGUGCAACCCCAUCUUCGGGUGGUAACACUGCUCGAUAAAGUCCACAGGACGAAAGACUAACUUUUAUGUCUAUAGCCCAUAUGGGAUAAUUGUGGCCGUCUAGAGCUAGUAGUUCAAACUCUUCGACAGUCAUUGAUCC